This 545-nucleotide long non-coding RNA is filed under the name Trifolium pratense (red clover). Its description in RNAcentral is "long non-coding RNA (TPRA_LNC008814)". The record is from RNAcentral. Lineage: Eukaryota; Viridiplantae; Streptophyta; Magnoliopsida; Fabales; Fabaceae.
CAAAUUUUAAGAGAGCACACAAGUAUUUCUCGUCAAAUACUACCUUCGUCCUUAAUUAUAAGAUCAUGUUCGAUAAAAAUGUAUUAUUCAUUUACCUUGUUUUGACCGUGUUUUUUUAAUAAUAUAUAAAUAUAAAUAUUAGUAUAUAAGAUCUUGUUCAAUUUGUUUUAAUGAGUAUUUUCAAAAUAUUAAAAUUUUAUAAUUUUUACUAAUAUACAAUUAAAAAUAUUAGUGAUCAAAAGUAUGCAUUGACGUACGUGCAAUGGUCAAACAAAAUCUUACAAUUAGGGACGGAGAUAGUACAAUUCAACCUUAAAGAUAUUGGAUAAAAUUCGCCUUCGGAUCUGGAUCCAUUUCAGUCCAUUCUCUUCUUUUGUUUGUGUUGUCAUCAUGUCAACCAUCCAUUUAUAUUUUUUCUUUCUCUUAAAAAUUGUUACUUUUAUUAUGAGUCACUAAAUGAAGAACAACAGAGAUGGCAGAAUAUAAAGGGCAGUAGAGGAAUAUGCAGAAGAAGUUUAACCUGUGGAAACACCGCAACUGAGCAA